GCUGUGGUAGUUCAGUGGUAGAAUUUUUGCCUUCCGUGUAGGAGACCCGGAUUCAAUUCUUGGCCAAUGCA
This 71-nucleotide transfer RNA is filed under the name Loxodonta africana (African savanna elephant). It matches the Rfam family "tRNA". Rfam says of the family: Transfer RNA (tRNA) molecules are approximately 80 nucleotides in length. Their secondary structure includes four short double-helical elements and three loops (D, anti-codon, and T loops). Further hydrogen bonds mediate the characteristic L-shaped molecular structure. tRNAs have two regions of fundamental functional importance: the anti-codon, which is responsible for specific mRNA codon recognition, and the 3' end, to which the tRNAs corresponding amino acid is attached (by aminoacyl-tRNA synthetases). tRNAs cope with the degeneracy of the genetic code in two manners: having more than one tRNA (with a specific anti-codon) for a particular amino acid; and 'wobble' base-pairing, i.e. permitting non-standard base-pairing at the 3rd anti-codon position. Lineage: Eukaryota; Metazoa; Chordata; Mammalia; Proboscidea; Elephantidae. The record is from Rfam by way of RNAcentral.